AACGUAGGUUCCGAGCGUUAUCCGGAUUUACUGGGCGUAAAGCGCGUUCAGGCGGUUUGGCAAGUCGGGCAUGAAAUCCUUCGGCUCAACCGGGGGAGGUUGUCCGAUACUGCUAAACUGGAGGGCAGUAGAGGGUGGUGGAAUUCCGGGUGUAGUGGUGAAAUGCGUAGAGAUCCGGAGGAACACCGGUGGCGAAGGCGGCUUCCUGGACCGAUACUGACGCUGAGGCGCGAAAGCUAGGGGAGCAAACGGG
RNAcentral lists this ribosomal RNA (253 nucleotides) under uncultured bacterium. RNAcentral describes it as "partial 16S ribosomal RNA". It matches the Rfam family "Bacterial small subunit ribosomal RNA", at positions 524 to 776 of the family's 1533-position model. The record is from RNAcentral.